GACGAACGCUGGCGGCGUGCCUAAUACAUGCAAGUAGAACGCACAGUUUAUACCGUAGCUUGCUACACCAUAGACUGUGAGUUGCGAACGGGUGAGUAACGCGUAGGUAACCUGCCUGGUAGCGGGGGAUAACUAUUGGAAACGAUAGCUAAUACCGCAUAAUAUUGAUUAUUGCAUGAUAAUUGAUUGAAGGAUGCUAUUGCAUCACUACCAGAUGGACCUGCGUUGUAUUAGCUAGUAGGUGAGGUAACGGCUCACCUAGGCGACGAUACAUAGCCGACCUGAGAGGGUGAUCGGCCACACUGGGACUGAGACACGGCCCAGACUCCUACGGGAGGCAGCAGUAGGGAAUCUUCGGCAAUGGACGAAAGUCUGACCGAGCAACGCCGCGUGAGUGAAGAAGGUUUUCGGAUCGUAAAGCUCUGUUGUAAGAGAAGAACGGGUGUGAGAGUGGAAAGUUCACACUGUGACGGUAUCUUACCAGAAAGGGACGGCUAACUACGUG
RNAcentral lists this ribosomal RNA (505 nucleotides) under uncultured bacterium. RNAcentral's name for it is "partial 16S ribosomal RNA". It matches the Rfam family "Bacterial small subunit ribosomal RNA", at positions 28 to 507 of the family's 1533-position model. The record is from RNAcentral.